CAUCUAAGGCUAAAUAUGACCACGAGACCGAUAGCGAACAAGUACCGUGAGGGAAAGUUGAAAAGCACUUUGAAGAGAGAGUUCAAGAGUACGUGAAACCGUUUAGGGGUAAACCUGAGAAACCCGAAAGGUCGAAGGGAGAAAUUCAUUCGCGUUUCGUCGCAGGCGUGGGACGGGGUCGAGUGACGGAAAGCGUUCGCGCGCUUUUCGCGCCCUCCGUUCUACGAACCGGUAACGAACGCGUGCACUUUUCUCUUGGUAGGACGUCGCGAUCCGUUGGGUGUCGGUCUACGGCUCGCGGUGGAGCCCGUUCGUACGUUUCGCGACGUACGGGCGGACCCGCGUGUCCCGGCUGGCUCGCUCGACGGUAUAAGAAAGGUUUAAGGCCGCUCUCGGAGCGUUCGGCUCGUUGCAAGCGCGCCAGAUGCGUCGGCGAUCGGACCUGGUGCCGAUUCUGACCUCUGGUGACUGUUGGCCGCGAAGUUCUCGAACAGACCUUCUAAAAACCGAUCUGCGACGCUAUAGCUUUGGGUACUUUCAGGACCCGUCUUGAAACACGGACCAAGGAGUCUAGCAUGUGCGCGAGUCAUUGGGAAUCACUAAACCUAAAGGCGCAAUGAAAGUAAAGGUCCCCCUCGCGGGGACUUAGGGAAGACGAGCGGUUUCACCCUUAAAAGUGGCCGCUCCGCACUCCCGGGGCGUCUCGUUCUCAUUGCGAGAAGAGGCGCACCAAGAGCGUACACGCUGGGACCCGAAAGAUGGUGAACUAUGCCUGGUCA
RNAcentral lists this ribosomal RNA (779 nucleotides) under Zeacalles sp. NZAC 03037713. RNAcentral describes it as "partial large subunit ribosomal RNA". It matches the Rfam family "Eukaryotic large subunit ribosomal RNA", at positions 307 to 843 of the family's 3401-position model. The record is from RNAcentral. Lineage: Eukaryota; Metazoa; Arthropoda; Insecta; Coleoptera; Curculionidae.